AGUCAAGAGCCCAAGGACACCGCCCUUUCACGGCGGUUAACAGGGGUCGAAUCCCCUAGGGGACGCCA
RNAcentral lists this transfer RNA (68 nucleotides) under Escherichia coli. RNAcentral's name for it is "tRNA-Glu (TTC) (tRNA-Glu-TTC-2-1)". It matches the Rfam family "tRNA", at positions 9 to 71 of the family's 71-position model. From Rfam's summary of the family: Transfer RNA (tRNA) molecules are approximately 80 nucleotides in length. Their secondary structure includes four short double-helical elements and three loops (D, anti-codon, and T loops). The record is from RNAcentral. Lineage: Bacteria; Pseudomonadati; Pseudomonadota; Gammaproteobacteria; Enterobacterales; Enterobacteriaceae.